GAUGAAGAACGCAGCGAAAUGCGAUAAGUAAUGUGAAUUGCAGAAUUCAGUGAAUCAUCGAAUCUUUGAACGCACAUUGCGCCCCUUGGUAUUCCGAGGGGCAUGCCUGUUCGAGCGUCAUUAUAACCCUCAAGCUCAGCUUGGUGUUGGGGCCUGCUGCACUGGCAGCCCUUAAAAUCAGUGGCGGCGCCAUCUGGCUCUAAGCGUAGUAAUUCUUCUCGCUAUGGAGUCCUGGUGGAUGCUUGCCAUCAACCCCCAAUUUUUCUAUGGUUGACCUCGGAUCAGGUAGGGAUACCCCCUGAACUUAAGCAUAUCAAUAAGCGGAGGA
Molecule: unclassified non-coding RNA, 328 nt
Filed under: soil metagenome
Description: partial contains 5.8S ribosomal RNA, internal transcribed spacer 2, and large subunit ribosomal RNA
Rfam family: 5.8S ribosomal RNA (bases 1-120)
Source: RNAcentral